UAGUACGGUGUGUUUAUAUUUUGUAUC
Molecule: non-coding RNA, 27 nt
Filed under: Bombyx mori (domestic silkworm)
Lineage: Eukaryota; Metazoa; Arthropoda; Insecta; Lepidoptera; Bombycidae
Source: RNAcentral